UCGUCAUCAUCAUCAUCUUCAGAGUCGGAAUCAGUUUGGGAAUGGGUGGUUGUAUGACUAAAAUCAUCGGAACUUCCAUCGUCGGAGGAGGAGGAGGAGAGCCUGGUGGUGGUGGGAGUAGGGUGGUGGUAGGCAAAGCCAUUAUUGUCAGAGUAAUAAGAAGUUGAAAAGGAGGUAGACAUAGAAGAAGAAGGAAGAGGAGUAAUAAUAGGAGGAGAGGUGGAGAUGGUAGAAUGAAGGGGGUGAGGAAAGAGAGGGGGAUUGGUGGAGGAUUUGAUCCUGGACAAGUGGGGAAUUGGUGGAGGAGGAGACCCAGCCAUGAAAUUCAUGAUAGAUAAGGGGUGUUGGUGUUGGACGAUACAAACCGACGACAUAUCUUUUUCCACUAGAAAAAAUGUAUAGUUAUUCACUACCACUAUUUAGUUGCUAGUACAUAGAUUGCUUUGCUUCUGGCUAGUGGUGGAGGUUUCGAGAAGGAUUGAUCCUGAGAUUCCGAUAUUUGACUACUAUACUAUAGAAAGACAGACAGAGAGAGGAUGGAGUGAGGGAGGGAGAACGACCACCACGUCGGAGCCAAGCCAAGGAGCUCCUCCUCCCCCCAACACUCCAAAAUUACCUAGCUUCCCCUUCUCUCUCUCUCUCUCAAAGUAUA
Coffea arabica (coffee) is the source of this 652-nucleotide non-coding RNA. Lineage: Eukaryota; Viridiplantae; Streptophyta; Magnoliopsida; Gentianales; Rubiaceae. The record is from RefSeq and is a predicted model, not a curated record.